AUACAUUAGCAUGGGAUAAUGGAAUAGGACCCUGUCCUCCUAUUUUCAGUUGGUUUUGGCAGCGCGAGGACUAGGGUAAUGAUUAAUAGGGAUAGUUGGGGGCAUUAAUAUUUAAUUGUCAGAGGUGAAAUUCUUGGAUUUAUGAAAGAUUAACUUCUGCGAAAGCAUCUGCCAAGGAUGUUUUCAUUAAUCAAGAACGAAAGUUAGGGGAUCGAAGACGAUCAGAUACCGUCGUAGUCUUAACCAUAAACGAUGCCGACCAGCGAUUAGGAGACGUUGAAUACAAAACACCACCAUCGGCGCGGUCGUCCUUGGCGUUCGUGUUCAC
Molecule: ribosomal RNA, 328 nt
Filed under: Acanthamoeba sp.
Lineage: Eukaryota; Discosea; Longamoebia; Acanthamoebidae
Description: SSU rRNA
Rfam family: Eukaryotic small subunit ribosomal RNA
Source: RNAcentral